This 1180-nucleotide long non-coding RNA is filed under the name Manihot esculenta (cassava). RNAcentral's name for it is "long non-coding RNA (MESC_LNC001636)". Lineage: Eukaryota; Viridiplantae; Streptophyta; Magnoliopsida; Malpighiales; Euphorbiaceae. The record is from RNAcentral.
AGGCUCUAUAGGCUCUAUAGACGCUAAAUAUUCUAAAUAUUCUUUUCGAUUAUCUACAAAUAAUAUUUUUUUCAAUUCCAAAUUUACAAAUAAAAAUCUUCCACCCAUUUGGCAAAAAGCCUUAAAAACUUGUUUACAGCCCUAAAUUCACAUCGAGAAAGGGAAAGAGCCCUCCUUUGCUCAGAGAUGCAGAAGCAAGUCGGUCAAUGUUAAAAAAGAAAAUAUAUAUGCCCUAGAGAGAGAAAGAGGAAAAGGAGAGGAAAAGAACUCUCUCUAAAGAUGGAGAGAGAAAUAAGUUCUGACUCUGACUAACACUGGAGGAGGAUAUAAUAAUUUGUUCCUCUCCAGAUUCCCAUUUUGGGACAAAACCACACUUCACCAUUUCUCAAAAUUUAACCAGCCUCCCCACCCAACUUCUCUUUGCAAAGUCCACGAAUCAACUUCUUGUAGGUACAAAAGUAGGAUUUUUACUCAAAAACCAUCACACUUGUUAAUUAUUUUGCAUGUUUCUUCAAAUUGAAUUCGCACUGAGAAUCACAAACCACAUACUCAAAACUCCAGUACCAUGGGCACAAUCGAUUUCAUCACUAGCACACCCAUCCAUACGCAGCUUCCAUGGCUGAACCCCAAUCCAGAUCAAAUGAGAAAAUGCUGAAUUCCCUAUUGCCAAGCUUUGGAGUUUACUAAUCAAUACUCAACUGAUUUCGCAUACUCAACUCAACUGAUAUCGCAUAGUUCUCGGCUUCCAUUUGUAAUCCGGUAUUGCCAUGACCUGCUUGGUUUCUUCAUGACAGCGUUGCUCUUCGAGGGUUCUUAAAAUGGGAGACUGUGCGGGGGCUUUGGUACUGUCAAAGCUCGAAAGAUAUUAAUUCACUAUAUGGUUAACGAGAGCUGAUUGCUGAAAUGAGUCUCUACACAGACGUGUGGGCUUCAUCUCUAUAUGUCGAUAUUACUAAUAUACCCUUCAUUUAAAUUUUGUACUGAAAAUUGACAUAUUUUAUAUUUAUUAUAUAAUAAUAAUAACUAUUGUUAUAUGUAAUAAAUAUUUAGUGCAAAUCAAUUUGUAUUACACAAAAUAUCAUAUGUAAAUUAUAUAUUAUAGUAUUGUAUUAAAUAUUUAUACUCAAUUUUAUUAUAAAUUAUUUGUUUAUUAUUUAUAUAUAGAAAACUUUAUUCCAUA